This 180-nucleotide small RNA is filed under the name Mytilus galloprovincialis (Mediterranean mussel). The record is from RNAcentral. Lineage: Eukaryota; Metazoa; Mollusca; Bivalvia; Mytilida; Mytilidae.
AUGAUUUCCCGAAGGUCCGAGAAUAUCUGAAGUAAGGGUUUGACAAGUUUAAUAUAUCGAUGUUUUUAUAUAUAAUUAUAUUAUAAAAACAUCGAUAUAUUAAAUUAUAUUAUAAAAACAUCGAUAUAUUAAACUUGUCAAACCCUUACUUCAGAUAUUCUCGGACCUUUGGGAAAUCAU